Equus caballus (horse) is the source of this 4456-nucleotide non-coding RNA. The record is from RefSeq and is a predicted model, not a curated record. Lineage: Eukaryota; Metazoa; Chordata; Mammalia; Perissodactyla; Equidae.
UUCACAGCACUUGUAACUCUUUGAACUAGUGAACAGCCACUAAGCUCCUUUGAGCAGGGUCCUUGUCCCAGCGCCGACCACAGUGCCCGCACCCAGUAGGUGCGGCUGCUGGCCCGACGGAGCGCCCUCGUUUGUUGAGUCAUUGGGCAAGCCCCGAAGCCUGCCCUGCGCUGGGCCCCGGAAAUGACUCCUGCCGGGCCCUUGCUGUCUGAGAACGAACGGGAGGAGUUCUUGGAGAGGCCGACGGUCAGAGAGGAGCUGGGGCCGCGCAGGAAAUGGUCCGGCCCGCGAGGGAAUCCCGGAAGGCCUUCUGAGGCCUUGCUUUUGUGCCAGGCCUUGCCGGGUGCCGGCGAGCAGAAGUGAGGCAGGAGGGUGCCCCAGGCCGGGUAGCCCGUUGUGAGCAAGGCCUGGCGGUGUGCAUGCCCUCCAUCUCCGGGGAAGGAAGUCCUGUUGGGCCGGAGCACAGGCUCUGUGAAGGCGAACCAAGAGAUUCGGAGUUCGUGGACCCAUGGGCGGAUGCAGGGAUGCCGGCGGGGAGGGAGGAGUUUGUCUUCCGGGCGCGUGUGAUCGCGGGGUGCGGGUGAUAAGUGAUCGGAGGAGACUCGGCGCUGCGGGCGGUGGGGGCGGUGGGGGCGCUGCUGCCGGCGGCCGGGGGAGGCGGCGUGGACCGGGGAGCGGGAGGUGCAGGUGUGCCGAGAUGCUUUUUUGCGAUGUUGGUUUAGGGAUUGCUGUUUAUGUUUCCCUUGCCUCUCGUUUCUAGUAGGGAGCCUGGAUUUUUAAACCCUCGCCUCAGGAAAUUUGGUAAAAGAGGACGUCAUUUUUUGAAAAUGUAAUCUAAGGGUGGGAAAUUAAAGUCACUAUGAGGGGUGGGGGGCAGGCAGGCGGCUUCAAUUAGUGAAGCUGCCCAGGUGUGACGUCACUUGAUUUCUGUGCCUCACACGAAAAAGUAAGACUGCUCUUCUAGAGAUGCGUUCCAGACGCAGCCCCGUCUUCAGAUCCAGGACCCAAUCUUCUGGAGUUUUGGCCCGAAGCUCAAACUGGCGGUCUCUGGACCAAUCCAGCCGACAGGCCAGAGCUGAUAUUAGCCGCAAAUAACAGAACUGCAAGUUAAGUAAUGAAGAUCGAAGCUCAGUGGACGGCAGUUUGGAAAUCACUAUCUUUUGUAUACAGGCUCCUUCCUCAGAGGGGCCCUCGAAAGUCCAGGCUCUAUAGUUUCAAGUCCAGCAGAAGGAGAUCCUGUCUGCCCCACUGUUCUAAUGAAAGUCUUGGGAUUGAGUUUCAUUGGAUUGACUUGGGCUAAGUGUCCACCCUUGAACUGUCACUGUGACCAUAUGGGACAGAAUAAACCAAUUGGCCAGGCCUGAGAUAGUGUCAUCCAAAUCACAUGGGUUGAAAAUGUCCGAGGGGUGGCUCUGUCCUGGAGAAUCUGGCGCUGCUUCCAGAAGAAGGAGGAAUAGAUGCUGCAUGAGCAAAGAAGAGUGCGUACUCUGACCAGUUUGCAGCUUGCUGCCAUGGACAGUGUAUGGCUAGGGGUGACUCGACAGCCAGUGUUGGAAUUGUCUGGACUCCUCUCACUCACUUCUGGCCAUUGGCACUGGCUGCAGCUGGUGCCUCUGCUGGGGCUGUGGAACAGAGCAGACCUACUACACCUGGCCCCUCCAUGUGGCCUGGGCUUCCUCGUGGCAUGGCGGCCUUUGGAUAGUCAGACUUCUGACAGGGAGGCUCAGGGCCCCGUAUGCGAGCGUCUCAGCAAACAAGCACUGCCUUUAGCCUUGGAAGUCCUGUGGCAUCACUUCUUCUGCCACGAGUCCAAGGGCAGGGGAGGUGGAGUCCACCUCUCAGUGGGGAAGCGUAAGCUCAAGAAGAGCGUGUGGAAAAGGAAGGACUGUUGUGACUAUUUGGGAAAGCGGUGUGCCACAAGCAGUGUGAAAUACAGGAGGCUGGAAUCAAAAGAGCACGUGCCCUUUGCUUCGGUGUGCAUUGGCAGAACAUGUGGUUCCAUCCAGGUGAGCCUCACUUGUGUGCCCAGCAUCAUGUACCUUGGGUCGCUAGCUCCCAGUUCCGAAUUCCCAGGCGAGAGAUGCAUCUGGCACAGCUUGGGCCAGGCAGGCAUCGCAGCGCAAUGAGCAGGGGCCUGGACACCUCGGGGGUCACAAGUCACUGACUCGGCCUGGACCCGUCUCUUCAGGAAGAUGAGAAGCCCUCAGGACAAAACUGAUUUACUUUUUCUGAUUAUAGAGUAAUUCAGGGCACUGAAGAAUUUCAGAAGGUACAGAGAAGUACAAAAAAAUGAUGGAAAGUCUCCUAUGAUCUCCUAUCUGGAGAGAAUUCAGUGUCAAUCCAUUUCCUUUGUCUGAGAUUCUCACCUGCUUUUGGAAUGAUCAUGACCACAUAUUUUAUAUAUUGCUUUUAUACGAAAUCUUAAAUCAUUUUUAAUUUUUAAAUAUUUUAAUGUUUAAAUAAGUAGUCUAAAUAUUUUCAGUAACUCAUUAUUAUUUCCUUCCUGUCACGUCUUUUCAGUAAGCCUCAUUUUCAUACUUCACCCGUGGGCAGUACAUCCAGGGGGCACCACCGUUUUAUAUAACAAUUUCCCUAAAGUUGUUCAAGUUUUUUCUUAUUAUAGAGCACACUGGGAUGAUUUAGUCACAGUGUGACUAAAAUAUUGCCUGCAUAUCCUACUAUUUCCACAGGAAAAAUUCCCAAAGUAGGAAUUUCUGGGUGGGUCAAAAGCAAUGAGCAUUGUUAAAGUUCUUGAUAUGAAUUGCCCCAUUUCUUUGAAGAUGGACUGCACCUGUUUUGACUGUUAACAAAUGAUAUCAGGCAGGUGAUAUUUUAAAUGUGAAAGGCCCUAGUUCUCAGCUAGGUGGAAAGACGGCGAUGUACAUGCAUCUUCUGAUCCAGACUGACUGUUCCUGUAGGGACAGCUCCUGGAGUUUCUAGAAUGUUCCCCACCCUACCACACAGCAUCCUCCUUGUGCUUGAGGGCUGUGAUUUUCUGCAGGGUUGUGGGCAUCUGCGGCUUCCUGGACAAUGUCCUUCUCAACUGAUUCCAGCGCAGAACCCCAUUCACUGUUAGCAGACCGCAGCCUGAGCCCCAACAUUAUGUAAACAUCUCCUGGGGCCAUCACAGAAUUACCUGACACUCCAUUUACCUCCUCGGUACACCAGGGGCUGCUUGGAACACUACCAGGCAUAACUGCUUCUGUAGACGGGUCGGCAUAGUUAAGAUUUAGAACAGAUCACUUGAUAAACAAUUUCACAGAAGCCUCACAUUUCUUCUCUACGAGACCUACUUUCUCCCCAGUGUCUCCUGUGGAAAUGAUUUCACUGGCCUCUUUCAGAAAGGAAAAGUCGCUGGCCUUCUGCUGGAGUCUGUGUCAGGAGAUUAGAUUUCAGGGGAAAUGAGCCCCGGGCACUGAGGGGCUGAGGCCUCCUGUCUGUCUCUCUCUCUGUCUGCCUCUCCCUGAUGGGACCUCCUUGCUCUGCACCAUCACCUGUGAGGAAUCGAGGCAUCCUGCCUCCCUCCGUGGACUGGCUGCCCAGCAGUGUGUGCUGAGUGGAUCAAUGCAUGCAGGCCUGAAUGAGCCAAGGCUGCAGGAGGGGUAGGGUUAGGGGGCCAGCACCGGCUCGGGGGCUCCUGGCUCUCCAUGUCCAUUGUCUCAUCCAUCUUGAAGGUGACCAGGGUCCGGAGGAGGACGGAAACGUGGCACGGAGGUCAUGGUGUAUUUGGAACAAUGCUAACGUGUUCGUCUUUCCCUUUUGCCUUUCUGAGUCCGCGGCCUUCUCUCUGAGGGGCUGUCUGGGGGGAGAUUAGGAUUAGUGCAGAAAGUACCCAAACAGAAGAGAUGGUUAUAUUUGUGUUCUGAUACACAAAUAGACGUGUGCAGUGAGACAGUUGGCUCGAAAGCCGGGCACUGUGGAGUGGAUUUUCUGAGUUCAUUUAGCUCCUGUGUAACAGAUCCAGGCCCAUCUGGUAGCCGAGAACCUACUCCGUGUAGGGGGACACCUUCUAUCUGUGAGGGCCUGAGUCUUCAUGUUCAGUCUAGUUUUAUUUGAAAGCAGCUGUCCCACUUUGCAAGCCCUGGAAGUUGGCAGAGAGGAGAGAGACGAGGGAGAGGUGGGUGAUGAGAUACGUGUCCAGCCCCCCGGGAGGUACAUGGAGGGGCCUGAGUGCAGGGCUGUCUUGUGGAGUGGGCCCAGUGCAGUGAUGAGGUGGGCAUGCCUCAGGCAGUAUGAGGGUCUCCUCUGUACAGCUGAGCUUUCCUGGGGUUUCAUAGGGGAGUUGAAAGCCAGCAAGCCCAGGGCCAAGGUGAUCCUACAUCAGAGGGGGCUGGACGGACAGCUUGGGACAAAUGCUUGAUGGAAGAUGUGGGACAGAGUGUCUAAGGCCUGAGGGGCAGUGAGAGCUGAGGUGAGGCAGGUGGAGGGAACUGGGGCAUUACUGGGCCCUGAGCAA